GCAUAUUCUUGGCAUACCUCUCUACCAAUACACAUGAUAAAAAAAAAUCACUUUCAGGAUAAUAAAAUGAAAUUCUAAUAAGGCCCAAUGGGCCUAAACUCUCGAUCUCGUGAUUGAACGCACCAAUCAAUAAUUCAGUGAGUGAGAGAGAAUCAAGAAAAUGGUCACCUGAAAUGAGAAGGGUUUUGAGGCCACUGGUUCGUGAGCUUUCGGAGCUCAGUAUCUUCCGGCUCCGGUGACGCCGGAACGAUCGUGGAAUCUUAUUGAAAAACUCAGCAGCUGUCUUCUCUACACGAUGCCUUAAAGCUGAAGGCAAGCCAUGGUUGAUCACUUGAAAAAAUCCCCAUCUCUUGCAUGCCUCUGCAAUCUCCUUGGCGAUCGCAGUCUUGUCAUGAUGAGUAUCUUCGAGAGAAGAGAGGUCGAUGGUCGGGAUCUCGUCGGAGAAAAUGAAAUCACCGGAGUUUGUGAGGUGAGUGUUGGGUCUGUGUUCUGGAGCUUGGAUAAAAGCUUCGUCGAGUUCUCCCAUGGCAGUUUUGGCAGUGAUUCUUGUGGUUAUUUUUUAGAGUAGGCUUUGGAGAUAUCGAUGAUUAGUGGUGCGGUUGGUGUUGCUUUAUAGGAUAAUGCCACGUAAGUAGAGUAGAAUUUAAUUUCUCCCUGAAAUAAAAUGAAUCUAUACUAAUUUAUGCAAACCACUAUAGGUUAUUUUUUCCUUUGGUCUUUAUCGUAGUUCAGCUAAAUGUCAUUUAGGGUCUUCCUAUUGUUAGACGUAAACAUCACAAUUUGUUUCGAGUCAAAUCAAAUAAGUUCCUUCUAAUAGCUCGAAGGGCUGCUCUCUUGCAUAUUCUUGGCAUACCAACCUAUCUAUAAACUUGAGGUUAACAAUCAAAUAAACUUGAGGUUAACAAGAUUCUUAUCAAACUCAAUGGGCCUUUGUUAAGGCCUUUUUAGAUGUUCUUGAGAAAUUCUUAUCUGAACAAUAAUUUUUGAUUGUUUUUUUCAAGUUUGAUGGAAGAAUCAAAUUUGCACAAAGAAAAAGGAAGAAUCAAAUGAAGAACACCUGAAAUAAUCACAAUCGUCGGAUCUCCAAAUUUACAUGUAGGGUGAAGAAUAUAGACCUAGUAACUAGGUAAAAUACUUAUUACUUGUGAAUUCUAUACAUGAUUAAUAAAAAUUUGAACUCUAAAUCCAACUUCCCACACGUGAACACUGAACAGAGGGUCCACACUUACAUUGUUACAUUUAAUUUAAGUGGCUCAUUAAGUCUACUCACUACACAUCACAUAUGCUAUAACGAAUACUCAAAACCAAUUAAUUUUCAAAGGAAAUCGAAUUUUGAUGCAAAUGAUUUGUUCAGGGUUUUGCAG
This is a long non-coding RNA of Arabidopsis thaliana (thale cress), 1364 nucleotides long. RefSeq annotates it as other RNA. The record is from RefSeq. The transcript has 2 exons. NCBI's taxonomy places the organism in Eukaryota, Viridiplantae, Streptophyta, Magnoliopsida, Brassicales, Brassicaceae.